Long non-coding RNA from Capsicum annuum, 1003 nucleotides. RefSeq lists it as uncharacterized. Lineage: Eukaryota; Viridiplantae; Streptophyta; Magnoliopsida; Solanales; Solanaceae. The record is from RefSeq and is a predicted model, not a curated record. The transcript has 2 exons.
UAAAUGCUCAGUUAUGAAAAAGAGAGGCUAAGUACUUUAAUAUUUCAAACUGAAAUAAAAAUCCAAAAUAACCGAACCGAAUUUGUAAAAACCGAACCAAACCGAAUUUAUUUCGGUUUGAUUAUAGAUAUCAUUUGUCAAUCCGAAAACCAAUAAAUCAAACUGAUAUUAAACAAUCAAACCGAACCGACCGAACGCCUACCCCUACACGUGCCUAUCUACUUCUUUGCAUGGACUGUUGUCUUUAACCCUGUAGGAUUUUUUAACCCAGUGGUCCUUUGACUGCAUCACUUCAUCUUCUCCGGCGACCACCAAGGUUUUUGACUCACACCAGAUAGGGAUGUGAAAGGUGAUUCUUCAAAGAUGUCUCCUUCUCGAUUUCUAGCCAAUCCCCGCAUUGAUUUUCGAUGGCUUUAAAUACUUUUUUGUCCAAAACUGAAGAGGAAGGCCUAUUGCUCUUACCCAUGUUGAAUUCUCUCGAUGUGUACAACACCCGACUGUCGGCAUCUACUAGUCGAGAUGGAUCUUCAGGUGCUUCCACAUCCACUAUCCAUGAAGAAUAUGCUCCGCCAUGUGUUUGUUGGGAAACUCGAACAGAAAAGAGUGCCCCCACAUCUCGUAUACAUUGAUACCAAAAUCAUUUUUCCAAGUACUCACCGCCCACUUCCUGAUAUCUGUGAGAGUUGGUUUCUCCUUCUCAUCCCCGCUGAAGUUCCCAACUAUACAUCUUCCGAGCAAAUCUUUUUCUGGAUUAACAUCACCACCGGAGACGAAGAUAGAGUUGUUUUUGUUUCAGACUAGGGCUUCCAAUGCCUCCUUUGAUUGCCACUUGCUAGUCUUGACUGAGUCUACAUAAAGGAUCUUUGGAUCUGCCUUCUUGUAACUGUUUGUAAUAAAGGAUCCUUUAUGUUCUUUGAUGAAAUUAUCAAUCUUAAAUGCAAUGUCUCCCCACCCUACAUUUAAUGAUAUUUCUGGAAUAAUAAUGACAGAUCUAUUUCCUUCU